UACCCUUGACAUGUACGGAAGCCCGAUGAGAGUUGGGUGUGCCCGAAAGGGAGCCGUAACACAGGUGCUGCAUGGCUGUCGUCAGCUCGUGUCGUGAGAUGUUGGGUUAAGUCCCGCAACGAGCGCAACCCUUGCCAUUAGUUGCCACAUUCAGUUGGGCACUCUAAUGGGACUGCCGGUGACAAACCGGAGGAAGGUGGGGAUGACGUCAAGUCCUCAUGGCCCUUAUGGGUAGGGCCU
This 240-nucleotide ribosomal RNA is filed under the name uncultured bacterium. RNAcentral's name for it is "partial 16S ribosomal RNA". It matches the Rfam family "Bacterial small subunit ribosomal RNA", at positions 976 to 1214 of the family's 1533-position model. The record is from RNAcentral.